AGUCUCGUAGCUCAGCUGGUUGAGGACUACACUGAUAAUGUAGGGUCCCCAGUUCGAGUCUGGGCGGGACUA
RNAcentral lists this transfer RNA (72 nucleotides) under Flavobacterium sp. RNAcentral's name for it is "tRNA-Ile". It matches the Rfam family "tRNA". Rfam says of the family: Transfer RNA (tRNA) molecules are approximately 80 nucleotides in length. Their secondary structure includes four short double-helical elements and three loops (D, anti-codon, and T loops). The record is from RNAcentral. Lineage: Bacteria; Pseudomonadati; Bacteroidota; Flavobacteriia; Flavobacteriales; Flavobacteriaceae.